Molecule: non-coding RNA, 48 nt
Filed under: Schistosoma margrebowiei
Lineage: Eukaryota; Metazoa; Platyhelminthes; Trematoda; Strigeidida; Schistosomatidae
Source: RNAcentral
AUCCAGCUGACGAGUCCAAAAUAGGACGAAAUGCGCAUCAAACUGAAU